CCCUACUAAAGCCAAGGUUAGACUGAGGAGAGCAGAGUGCCGACCACCCUACUAAAGCCAAGGUUAGACUGGGGAGAGCAGAGUGCCGACCACCCUACUAAAGCCAAGGUUAGACUGGGGAGAGCAGAGAGCCGACCACCCUACUAAAGCCAAGGUUAGACUGGGGAGAGCAGAGUGCCGACCACCCUACUAAAGCCAAGGUUAGACUGGGGAGAGCAGAGUGCCGACCACCCUACUAAAGCCAAGGUUAGACUGGGGAGAGCAGAGUGUCGACCACCCUACUAAAGCCAAGGUUAGACUGGGGAGAGCAGAGUGCCGACCACCCUACUAAAGCCAAGGUUAGACUGGGGAGAGCAGAGCGCCGACCAUCC
This is a long non-coding RNA of Oncorhynchus tshawytscha (Chinook salmon), 371 nucleotides long. The record is from Ensembl. NCBI's taxonomy places the organism in Eukaryota, Metazoa, Chordata, Actinopteri, Salmoniformes, Salmonidae.